CUCUUAGCUCAGUCGGCAGAGCGUUUCCAUGGUAAGGAAAAGGUCGUGGGUUCGAUUCCCACAGAGGGCUCAGCCA
Molecule: transfer RNA, 76 nt
Filed under: Actinomycetota bacterium
Lineage: Bacteria; Bacillati; Actinomycetota
Description: Actinobacteria bacterium (freshwater metagenome) tRNA-Thr
Rfam family: tRNA
About the family: Transfer RNA (tRNA) molecules are approximately 80 nucleotides in length.
Source: RNAcentral